UCUCCGUAGGUGAACCUGCGGAGGGAUCAUUACCGAGUUUCGUGCCCGUACGGGUAGAUCUCCCACCCUAUGUUAUUAUUACCUUGUUGCUUUGGCGGGCCGCCAGGCUCCGGUCAGGCUAUCGGCUUCGGCUGGUAAGCGCCCGCCAGAGGACCCAAUAUCCUGAUUAUCAGUGUCGUCUGAGUACUAUGAUAAUAGUUAAAACUUUCAACAACGGAUCUCUUGGUUCUG
This 231-nucleotide unclassified non-coding RNA is filed under the name soil metagenome. RNAcentral's name for it is "partial contains small subunit ribosomal RNA, internal transcribed spacer 1, and 5.8S ribosomal RNA". The record is from RNAcentral.